RNAcentral lists this ribosomal RNA (460 nucleotides) under uncultured bacterium. RNAcentral describes it as "partial 16S ribosomal RNA". It matches the Rfam family "Bacterial small subunit ribosomal RNA", at positions 338 to 795 of the family's 1533-position model. The record is from RNAcentral.
CCUACGGGAGGCAGCAGUGAGGAAUAUUGGUCAAUGGGCGCGAGCCUGAACCAGCCAAGUAGCGUGAAGGAUGACUGCCCUACGGGUUGUAAACUUCUUUUAUAAAGGAAUAAAGUGAGGCACGGGUGCCUGUUUGUAUGUACUUUAUGAAGAAGGAUCGGCUAACUCCGUGCAAGCAGCCGCGGUAAUACGGAGGAUCCGAGCGUUAUCCGGAUUUAUUGGUUUUCAAGGGAGAGUAGAUGGGUUGUUAAGUCAGUUGUGAAAGUUUUCGGCUCAACCGUAAAAUUGCAAUUGAUAAUGGCAGUCUUGAUUACAGUUGAGGUAGGCGGAAUUCGUGGUGUAGCGGUGAAAUGCUUAGAUAUCACGAAGAACUCCGAUUGCGAAGGCAGCUUACUAAACUGCCACUGACAUUGAUGCUCGAAAGUGUGGGUAUCAAACAGGAUUAGAUACCCGGGUAGUC